RNAcentral lists this long non-coding RNA (850 nucleotides) under Physcomitrium patens. RNAcentral describes it as "long non-coding RNA (PPAT_LNC003867)". Lineage: Eukaryota; Viridiplantae; Streptophyta; Bryopsida; Funariales; Funariaceae. The record is from RNAcentral.
CAUUUCCCACGUCGAGCAGCACCACUACUGCGCUUAAUCAGAGCUUCUUCUUCUGCGGGAAUCGUCCUCACAUGUUAGAAAGGCAUCCAUCGUUGUAAAAGCUCCUAGAUCUUCCCCUUAGCCUCUCCACUAAGCUCGAGAGGCAAGUGGACGUUUCCUCCGAAAGACGCCAUCUCGUUGUCCUUGGAACGCAACCUCUGCAAAUUUUGACGUAGGCAUAGUGAGUCUUCUGUCCAGAUUCUAGCUACCUUUGCUCACACAGGCUGUGUUGUUUUCCGGAUCCUUUAGCUUUUCGUUAAGCCUUUUGCACCAUCGAAAGGACUGACGAUUAUUAAAUGGGUUGUGAGUGGGUGUUUCCACCCAAAAGGGUGCAGCGAUGGCCAUACAAUAUUGAUGCUGCUCCUGCAACUUGUCAUUGUGGGUGAAAGGGGAGGAGUGUGGGCUAGAAGGGGAAGUGAAGUGGUUACGGUCUCACGAGAAGCAUCGCUCCACCCUCCCCAUUUAAAAGCCCUCAACACAUGAGGCAUGUGGCAACCCCAACUCGGUUCUUAAACGAUGAAGAAACAUGAACAAGAUGAACAAGAAGUAAGGAAUUAGUGGUGGUGGUGGUGGUGGUGGCUGUGGGCCUCAGUGAUUCUGGCUCUGAAAUCCACAAAAUUUAAUUGUAAACAUGUAUUCGUUCAGAUAUAACUGGUUUAGGUUCAUGUUGAUGUUGAACAUCCACAGAUAAAUAUAUAUACAUCAUGCCAUAUAAGUGGUAUGUUUUUACAAUGUAUUGUGUUUUAAUGAUGAAGAACUUCUAUUUUGUAUAGUAAGAGCUUUAUUGUUGUGCAAAUAAUGUUGCACAAUA